CCAGACGGCCGGAUGGCCGCCUUCCGUGCGCGACAGCGUGGCGGGGGGAGGAAAGUCCGGGCUCCACGGAAACACGGUGCCGGGUAACGCCCGGCGGGGGCGACCCCAGGGAAAGUGCCACAGAAAGCAAACCGCCCUGCUUCGCUCUCACGAGCUUCGCGGGGUAAGGGUGAAAGGGUGCGGUAAGAGCGCACCGCGCCCCCGGCGACGGGGGCGGCACGGUAAACCCCACCGGGAGCAAAACCGAAUAGGGACGACGGGCCGGCUUGUCCGGCAGGCGCGUUUCCGCGCUGUCGUCCGGGUUGGUUGCGCGAGGCGUCCGGCAACGGGCGUCCCAGAUGAAUGGCCAUCUCCUCUGCCGCUCCGGCGGCGGAGGAACAGAACCCGGCUUACAGGCCGUCUGGCACU
RNAcentral lists this RNase P RNA (408 nucleotides) under Rhodospirillales bacterium. RNAcentral describes it as "RNase P RNA component class A". It matches the Rfam family "Bacterial RNase P class A". Rfam says of the family: Ribonuclease P (RNase P) is a ubiquitous endoribonuclease, found in archaea, bacteria and eukarya as well as chloroplasts and mitochondria. Its best characterised activity is the generation of mature 5'-ends of tRNAs by cleaving the 5'-leader elements of precursor-tRNAs. Lineage: Bacteria; Pseudomonadati; Pseudomonadota; Alphaproteobacteria; Rhodospirillales. The record is from RNAcentral.